This is a long non-coding RNA of Brassica napus (rape), 447 nucleotides long. RefSeq lists it as uncharacterized. Lineage: Eukaryota; Viridiplantae; Streptophyta; Magnoliopsida; Brassicales; Brassicaceae. The record is from RefSeq and is a predicted model, not a curated record. The transcript has 2 exons.
GAAACAAACAGCCCAUUCAGCUCAGCUAUUUUUAUUCUUACAUGUGAUUAUCUCUAUGUAUGUGUGACAGACCUGGUUCUUGGCCUGAGUCCAUAGCAAGAGAGGAUCAACUCCUUUAGGAAACGAGUUCAUAUAAAUAAAGACAGGUCCAAACACUUUCUUCCAUGCUUCACCUUCUUCAAAACUCAUGAUGAGUUCUGCUCCAACAUAAAAAAACCUAUGCUCACCGCGAGGUUGGUUGGACCGACAUGGGAGCCUAGGAACUGCUUGAGAGGACCAGCAGAUCGGAACUCGUUGCUCGGAGUGAUUUGCCAGAAACCAACCGAGUCAUUUGUGCUUAUCCAUCCAUGAACUUUUAUGUCUUUACUCUCCAUUGAGUAUUCAUACUUGUCAUCCACCUGUAAGGUCAGAAUCAAGAUUAAUAAUCCUCUGUUUCCUCUGAUUUUA